Molecule: long non-coding RNA, 6190 nt
Organism: Haemorhous mexicanus (house finch)
Lineage: Eukaryota; Metazoa; Chordata; Aves; Passeriformes; Fringillidae
Exons: 3
Source: RefSeq, a predicted model, not a curated record
GGACAGGGAGCAGAGCGAGCAGCAGCCACAUCUUUCCAGAGCAUCAGAGGAUUCUGUUGAGCCACUGGCAAGGAAUGAUGAAGAGGAACCAACAGAAGAUGAUGAGUAUGUGUGAGAGAAAGUGUCUAGCAAAGUGUCUAAUGUCAGAUAAGUGGCUGAAGGAGGUUUCUGCCAAGCUUUUGGGUUCUGCCUAGCUCUGUGCAAGUACUUGAGACCUGGAAUAUAGUGGCCUGCCUGGAAGAGAAUUAAAAUAAACCCAGCAGAAUCCAGCAGAAGCCUUUCUUCUCUGUUUGUGAAGCCUUAGCUUCUUAGAAGCUGUCUAUCUAACACUGAAUGUAAGAGAAUGGCUGGUCACACUGAAAUGCUUGCUGUUCAUAAAAAUUCAUGGCAUGAUUGUUUUUCUGGGCUGGGAUGUUGCUUAAUCAGAAUAGGAGAUGUUUUAGGUACCAAAGUUUUCUGCAUUGGUAGCCUUUGGUGCCCAAAGAAAUAAAUGGCUGCAUGGUCUUCUGGUUCUGCUCUCUCUAGUGAUUGGCUGCGAUUUAAUUUUGAACGUCCAUUUUGGUCAGAUGAGGACUCAGCGGUGAGGAUCCACAUGUUCUUGUCCUUUCUGGUUUGUGGGAGGGGGAGGGACAAAAGGGGAGCUGCACAACUCAGAUGUUUGAGGCGGGAUGCCACGGGCAGCAGGCUGGAAGCACAGCCCUUGCUGGGAAGCUCCAACUUGCCCAUCCCUCCAAGUCCCUCCUGGGUGGUGUCCAUAGAGGGAGAAGCUCUUUCCAGGAUGGCACUGGCAGAUCUGUGUGUCCUUUGUAGUUCUAGCGUUGAGUGACAUAGUGCACAUACUCCAAGUCCAGUUUGCCUGGAGCCAACAAAAAAUUCCAGCAAACUGGAAUUCUUUACUCCCAGUGCCUGUUGUGGUUUCCUUUUUUCAGCAGCUAUUCAUCCAACAUGAAGUGUUUAGGGCUAUGACUGCAGAAGUUGCCCUUUUUGGAGCUAACAAGGGAAAGAAAAGCUUCUAGCCCAAAUCCAAUCAGGGAACUGAUACAGGGAAGUAGGUUAGAGUUGUUUUGAGUGUUUCCUACCCUGUUUUCAUUUUUAACCCCUGCAGGACAGGGAGCAGAACCAGCAGCACUCACGUCUUUCCAGAUCAGCAGAGAAUUCCCCUAGUCCAGUGGCAACUCGUGACGAAGAGGAGCCAAGAGAUAGUGAUGGGUAUGUGAGAGUAAAAUGUCUCUCUGAAGUCUAAUUUGUGAUGCAAGGUAGGAACAGGUUUUUGCCAAGCUUCUGGGUUCUGUUGAAGUCUGUGCAGAACCUUCAGACCUGGAAUACAGUGCAGAGAAGUAAGUAAAAGAGUCCAAAAAAACACAUAGCAAAAUCCAGCUGAAACCUUUCUUUUCUUUUCAUGAAGUCAUGGUUGAAUAUUUGUAACAGUACGACUUGAUAUAUGCUGAAAUGCUUGCAGCACAUAGCAGCUCGGGGAACAGCUGUGGAGCUGGGCUGGGAUGUUGCUAAAUCUGAAUAGGUGUUACAUGUUGGCAACUCUUUGUCUGCAGUGAAAUUAUUGGUUCUGCGUUCAAAUGGCUGCACGCUCUUUUUGGUUCCCUCUAGUGCACGGCCAGCAGGCCCAGCUAGUCCUCGGAUGAGGGAGAGUGACAACUCUCAGGUGCAGGACAGGGAGCAGAGCCAGCAGUACCCACUUGGCUCCAGAGAGGCAGAAAAUUCAGCUGAGAUACGGGUGACAGACAUUGAAGAGGAACCAAGAGCUAACAAUGAGUAUGUGACUGAUGAAGAGUCUCUCCAAAGUGUAAUUUCUGAUAUAUGGUAGAUGCAGGUUUUUUGCCAAACUAUUGGAUUCUGCUUGACUCUGUGUAAUGGAAUCUGAUUUGAACCAUAGUGGCCUGUCAGGAAGGGAAGUAUUGGAAAAAAAACUCCUAUAAACAAAGCAAAAUCCUGGAGAAACCUUUCUUCUCCAUUCAGGAAAUCAUUGUUGAAUGUUUCUUACAUUACGGUUUGCACUGAAAGGCUUGCAGUACAUAAAAGCUCUUGCACUGACCGUGUUUCUGAGCUGGGAUGUUGCUUAAUCAGAAUAAGGGGUUGUUUCUAUUUUUGCAAUGUCUUGGAAGCCCUCUUUGCACUGUGAAAUUGACAGCUGCAUGUUCUUCUAGUUCUAUUAACUCUGAUGAAUGGCCAGACCGUUUUGAGAGUCCCCCGACAUGGCAGGAUGACAUUACAGAUGUAAGCAUCAUGUUCUUAUCACAUGUUCUUGUCCUUUCUGCUUUGUGGGGGGGAGGAGACAGAGGGGGAGCUGCACAACUCAGUUGUCCUAGGUGGGAUGCCACGGGCAGCUGACUGGAAGUCCAGCCCUUGCUGGGAAGCUCCAAUUUGCCCAUCCCUCCAAGUCCUUUCUUGGUGGUGUCCAUAGAGGGAGAAGCCUUUGUCAGGAUAGCACUGGCAGAUCUGUGUGUUCCUUGUAGUUCUAGUAUUGACUGACAGACUGCAGACACCCCAAAUCCAAUUUGCUGGUGCCAAUAGAGCAGCAAACCUUUUUGCCCCAAAUUUCUGUGGUUGCCGUUUCUGUUUCUCAGCAGCGGUUCAUCCAACAUGAAGUGUUUAGGGCUAGCAAAGGAAAGAAAAGGUUCUAGCCCAAAUCUACUCAGGAAACAUAAACAGGGAGGCAGGAUGGAGUGGCUUCAAGCGAUUCCUACUCUGUCUACAUUUUUACCCCACUGCAGGACUGGGAAAGGAGCCAGCAGUACUCACUUCGUUCCAGGUCAACAGAGAAUUCACUGGCAAGCAACCUCCAACAGGAACCACGAGAUAUUGAAUUGUACGUGACAGAUAUAGAGUCUCUCCAAAGUGUAAUUUCUGAUGUACGGUAGACGGAGGUUCCUGCCAAUCUUUUGGGUUCUACUUGAUUCUGUUUGGAGAAUUCUGACUUGAAACAUAGUGGCCUGUCUGGAACAGAAGUAACAACAACAACAACAACAACAACAACAACAAACCCACAAAAAAAAAAACCCCGAAAACCAAACCAACUUAAAACCAGUAAAAUCCAGGAGAAACAUUUCCUCUCUGUCAGGAAGUCAUUAUUAAAUGUUUCUUACAUUAUGGAUUGUGAUACACUGAAAUGCUUGCAGUACAUAAAAGCUCUUGCACUUGAUUGUGUUUCUGGGCUGGGAUGUUGCUAAAUCAGAACAAGGGGUUAUUUAAAUUUCUUCAAUUAUAUGUUCUGUUGGUAGCCCUUUGUGCUCUGUGAAAUUGACCAGCUGCAUGUUUUUCUGGUUCUGUUCCCUCUAGUGAACCACUAAGAAGUUUGGUUAGUCCUCCAAAUUGGGAGGAUGACAAUGCAGAGGUGAGGAUCCACAUAUUGUUGUAAUUUCUGGUUUGUGGGAGGGAAAGGGGCUAAAGGGGAACUGCACAACUCAGAUGUUUGAGGUGGGAUGCUACGGGCAGCAGGCUGGAAGCACAGCCCUUGCUGGGAAGCUCCAACUUGCCCAUCCCUCCAAGCUCCUCCUUGGUGGUAUCCAUAGAGAGAGAAGCCCCUUCCAGGAUGACCCUGGCAGAUCUGUGUGUCCUUUGUAGUUCUAGCGUUGAGUGACAUAUUGCACAUACUCCAAGUCCAGUUUCCUGGGUGCCAAUAGAGCAGCAAACUGGAAUUCUUUACUCCCAAAUUUCUGUUGUGACUUCCUUUCUUCAGCAGCUGUACAGCUAACAUGAAGUGUUAAGGUUCUCAUAGCAGAAUUUGCCAGUUUUGGGGAGAACAAGGGAAAGAAACAGCUCCAGGUCAAAUCUAAAUAGGGAACAGGAACAGGGGACCAGGGAGGAGGGUGUUCAGGGGGUUCCUAAGCUGCCUCUAUUUCUACCCUGUUGCGGCAAUGAGAGCAGAAUCAGCAGCACCCACUUCUUUGUUAUUCAGGGCAGCAGCUCUUUGUGCUACUGCUUUGAAUGCUCUUAACCAAACAUAGAGGGUGAUACCCUACCCUUCCCCAACUCCCCUGCUGUAACUGCUUUCUGAGCUGAGGUUUGAGGGCAGCACCAGGGGGGAUCACCAAAUCUAAUUGUAUCUUCCUUUUCUCUCCCUUCCCAUGUGCAUCGAUUGAAGUUUCCUGAAGGUGAGGUGAUGUUUUACAGUUGGUAAUGGACUUUUAUCUAAAAUGUGAUAGUUAUUUUUGUUGUUCUUUUCCAAGAAAGUCGAGCAGCAGGGAUUGAAACUUCUUUUCAGCAAAAGGCAAAGCACAGGGCUAAAGCCUCUGGCCUGUGUCUUAGAGAAUGGAUGCGAUGUGUGUGUGAUGGCCUCUGUCAGUCCCAGUGGGAAAUCCCUGCAAGAAAAGUGGUAGCUGAACACUUAUGCAGAAGGAACUUUAAUGUGGUAAUGCCUCCUGCAAUUUUAAUUGAUUAGCGAUUGGUUAGUGUGACAUGGACCCUGGAGUUGCAGAGGUCAUCGUUGCCUGGGGUUUCUGAGAGUUAAGGAGCAAACAGCAGUUCUUGACCCUUUGGCUGUUACAGACCAGGCCAUUAGAAAUGGUUCUCCCAGUAACUUGGUCAAUGUGUGGUCCACAAAAAUUGGAUUUGUUACUGGGGUGCAACAGGUAAAUGAUGAGCCACUUGAGAGAGACAUUGGUUGCUUGUUUCAGUGUUUCACCAGUCUGGGCGCUCAGUGGUAUUUCACAAAUCAGACACACCCACUUCCAAAAGAACUUCUAUUAUUUAUAAAUUUAAACCAAGAAAGAAAUUAGCAUUAAGUGGUUGCAAGUGACAUGGUUAUCUUCUUAGCCAGUAUUUUGUCUUCUUCUGGUUAGUGAUUGUCUCUCUUCUCACUGUAAUUAGUCCACUGAGUGCAUUGCUCAGUCUGCCUCUUCUUUUGGGCUGGGGAGGUUCUUGAGUUGCCGCUCCACGAGUCGGUGGUCGCAAUCUCCCCCUGCAGGAAUUACUUUUUACCAGUCAGAGCUGAUUUCAGGACAGUUGGGUUUCUUAGUUCCUUAUCCUGGGAGUUGUUCCAGAUUUUCAUGGGGCCCCUCAAUUCUGCAUUCUUUGUGUCCACUCUCAGUGGGCAUCCUUCUCUCCAAACUUUGUUAAGCCUUCCCUGGGUCUGAGCUCCUUGAAGCAUGUCAAGCCCUGAACCUUAACAAGGCAAUUCUACCAACAAGGAAUUUGUUUUUCUGCCCCAUGGGCAUCACUUAGAUCUUGUUUGUGAGUUGUUGUCUAUUUAAUGGACCAUAUCUCCCAGUUGAUUUGGCUUGAACAUACAUAAAGAUCAAACAUGAAUACAAGCGGCAUCCUUCCUUAAGAAAUCUUUUACAUAUUCUGCAUUUUGCAUCACAUAUAACUCCAUUCUUAAAUUAGCUUAAUUAAGGAGGAAGAUAAUGACAAUUUUCUAAGGGCAUACUGCUUCAAGUAAUUUUUAGUUUCCAUGGACUGUCUUUGAGAAUCUCAGGUCACCUUUUUUAGCUGUGUGUAGGCUGAACAGAGCAAAAAUUUUGUGUUGUUUUGUAGCAGAGGAGCCACAAUGUGUGGAAGGGUCCACUCUUAGAAUUUGGGAAAGUAGCUUGUUUAUGCUUGUUUUUAAACCAGCUGAAUAGAGUCCAUUUCAAAUAGGAAGCAUUGCUGACUAUUUAUAUAACUCAUUUCAAGGGUAGCUCCAGGGAGAGAGAGAAUAAGAGAUCUAAUUUCUGAAAAUUAAAUUACAGUGUAUGGACAGGAAAGCAGAAAUGUUACACUGAACAGCCAGGAGCAGGUGGAUGGCUCUGGUAAUGGAACAGGAGCUCAUGAUGCACCUGUGGCUGACCCAGCCCCUGCAGAACAGGGAGCAGCAGAGGAGGACACUGCACAUUCAGAUUCUGUUUCUUCCAGUGCACAGCAAAGAGUUGUCAUUAGGUGUCCAAUUUGCAUGGAAUUUUACUCCGAGAUUCUACAACAUGGACAACAGCUUGUGGUGACCCUGUGUGGCCAUGUCUUCUGCACUAGAUGCCUCCCUAUUGCCCUGGAGACUGCUCACAUGUGCCCAACCUGCAGGGCGGAACAAUAUCCAGAUGAAUAUAUUAACAUUUUUUUAUGAGUGCUUCUCAGGACACACUCAGAUGGAUCUUGGACAAUAGGCAGUGGAGAGACUUGUUUCUUUGUCUAUAUAGUUCUUCCUGUACAUAGUUUCAUUUUUUUCUGAAUUCAAUUUAAAUAAAGUUUUGAAUAGUUGAAA